RNAcentral lists this small nuclear RNA (106 nucleotides) under Saimiri boliviensis boliviensis (Bolivian squirrel monkey). Lineage: Eukaryota; Metazoa; Chordata; Mammalia; Primates; Cebidae. The record is from RNAcentral.
GUGCUCGCUUCAGCAGCACAUAUACUAAAUUGGAAUGAUACACAGAAGAUUAGCAUGGCUCCUGCACAAGGAUGACAUGCAAAUUCAUGAAGCGUUCCAUAUUUUU